Molecule: long non-coding RNA, 414 nt
Organism: Etheostoma cragini (Arkansas darter)
Lineage: Eukaryota; Metazoa; Chordata; Actinopteri; Perciformes; Percidae
Exons: 3
Source: RefSeq, a predicted model, not a curated record
UCUCUAGCACAUCGGCCACUGACUCACUCUCUCUCGUUCUCCCUCUCUCUCUCCAUCUCUCUCUCUUUCUCUCUCUCUCUUUCACUCUCUGACAUUCCUGUCUGUUUGGAGUUCUGCAGAGCCGUCACCAGGAGGCUCUGUGGCCCUUACAAUGUAAACCCUGUUGGGUUUAUGCUGUUGAUCAUUAUUCACUGCUAAGACUGCUGGGCUCUGGAGCUGUGGGAGAGUGCCCACUCAGAGGAGGGGAGCGUGAACACAUUGAUUUUAUUUGGACAGGCUUUUGUCUGGGACACAUCCAAACCCAAACAGCCAAGGGAAGGACCACAACAGAGUUUUAUGGUGGAAAAAUACCCUGAAUGAUGCUGAUCCAAGCCGGAGGAUAGAGGAUGACUGCUCAUAAACUCAUGGAGGAAA